RNAcentral lists this ribosomal RNA (250 nucleotides) under uncultured bacterium. Its description in RNAcentral is "partial 16S ribosomal RNA". It matches the Rfam family "Bacterial small subunit ribosomal RNA", at positions 525 to 775 of the family's 1533-position model. The record is from RNAcentral.
ACGUAGGGGGCUAGCGUUAUCCGGAUUUACUGGGCGUAAAGGGUGCGUAGGUGGUUUCUUAAGUCAGGAGUGAAAGGCUACGGCUUAACCGUAGUAAGCUCUUGAAACUGGGAAACUUGAGUGCAGGAGAGGAAAGUGGAAUUCCUAGUGUAGCGGUGAAAUGCGUAGAUAUUAGGAGGAACACCAGUAGCGAAGGCGGCUUUCUGGACUGUAACUGACACUGAGGCACGAAAGCGUGGGGAGCAAACAG